Molecule: ribosomal RNA, 222 nt
Filed under: uncultured fungus
Lineage: Eukaryota; Fungi
Description: partial 18S ribosomal RNA
Rfam family: Eukaryotic small subunit ribosomal RNA
Source: RNAcentral
GUUGUUGCAGUUAAAAAGCUCGUAGUUGAAUUUCGGGAUCAAUAUAACGGUCAUGCCGUUGGUAUGCACUGUUAUAAUUGGUUUCUCACCUUCUGAAGAACCGUAAUGCCAUUAAUUUGGUGUCACGGGGAAUUAGGACUGUUACCUUGAAAAAAUUAGAGUGUUUAAAGCAGGCUCACCCUUGAAUACAUUAGCAUGGAAUAAUGAAAUAGGACAUCCGAU